Molecule: ribosomal RNA, 396 nt
Filed under: uncultured bacterium
Lineage: Bacteria
Description: partial 16S ribosomal RNA
Rfam family: Bacterial small subunit ribosomal RNA
Source: RNAcentral
UGGGGAAUAUUGGACAAUGGGCGCAAGCCUGAUCCAGCCAUGCCGCGUGAGUGAUGAAGGCCUUAGGGUUGUAAAGCUCUUUCGCCGGUGAAGAUAAUGACGGUAACCGGAGAAGAAGCCCCGGCUAACUUCGUGCCAGCAGCCGCGGUAAUACGAAGGGGGCCUAGCGUUGCUCGGAAUCACUGGGCGUAAAGCGCACGUAGGCGGAUCGUUAAGUCAGGGGUGAAAUCCUGGAGCUCAACUCCAGAACUGCCCUUGAUACUGGCGAUCUCGAGUUCGAGAGAGGUUGGUGGAACUCCGGAGUGUAGAGGUGAAAUUCGUAGAUAUUCGGAAGAACACCAGUGGCGAAGGCGGCCAACUGGCUCGAUACUGACGCUGAGGUGCGAAAGCGUGGGG